AAACCUACUGUUAAUUAAAGAAUAAAAAGCGGCAAAGUGCGAGUCGGACUCGCUCAUGAAGGGUUCCGUAGCAGCAAGUAACAUAAUAAAAUUGCGGUUUACGAUUUAUGACGUAUUAAAAAAAACUACUUACUAGAUCUUGUUCAAACCAAUUUUCGGGGGGACACACAUUUUACCACUUUGAAAGUGUCUCUCGCGCAAACUAUUCAGUUUAGAAAAAAAUAAUAUUAGAAACCGCAAUAUCAUUUUUGAAGACCUAUCCAUAGAUACCCCACACCUAUGGGUUUGAUGUAAAAAAUAUUUUUGAGUUUCAGUUCUAAGUAUGGGGAACCCCCAAAAUUUAUUGUUUUUUUUUCUAUUUUUGUGUGAAAAUCUUAACGCGGUUCACAGAAUACAUCUACUUACCAAGUUUCAACAGUAUAGUUCUUAUAGUUUCGGAAAAAGUGGAUGUGACAUACGGACGGACAGACAGACAUGACGAAUCCAUAAGGGUUCCGUUUUUUGCCAUUUGGCUACGGA
Long non-coding RNA from Cydia splendana, 519 nucleotides. RefSeq lists it as uncharacterized. Lineage: Eukaryota; Metazoa; Arthropoda; Insecta; Lepidoptera; Tortricidae. The transcript has 3 exons. The record is from RefSeq and is a predicted model, not a curated record.